Molecule: long non-coding RNA, 1407 nt
Organism: Apis dorsata (giant honeybee)
Lineage: Eukaryota; Metazoa; Arthropoda; Insecta; Hymenoptera; Apidae
Exons: 3
Source: RefSeq, a predicted model, not a curated record
UUUCACUUGUAUUUGAAAAAUUAUUAAACUUGAUUUGAAUUCAAAAAAGAUUUUAUUCUAUAUUUUCAUAUCUUUCUUUGAUCAUAAUUUAUGAAUUGCUCGGUAUAUUCAUUCAUCUUGUGAAAAACAUGCAAAACAUAUUUAAUACGUAUUUGCAUAAAAAUCCUAUUAAUCUAAUGAUAAAAAAUAAGCAAAAGGAUAUUUUAAAUGCGAGUAUGUAAUUUCAAAUUUCCGAUCGCGAGUCCAAAGAUCAAAUUUCAAGGGAAAAUUUUUUUCAUUUGUUCGUUCAUCGUCGAACAUCUGUCUUCAGGGCAUCCUCAUUCUCGAUCUAGGAAAAGCGUAUCGAAUCAGAAACAGAUUGCAUCGAGGAUAAAGUUUCCAUUCUUCGCCUGGAGAAAGAUCUGAUAAUCGGUAUUAACACGGAUCAGAUCGUAUCUGUCUCGAUACAUUCAACGGAUACAAAGUUAGUGCAGAUGCGAUAGUUAUUAUGGAAAUCAGAAUAUCAUUCGUAAUUGAGGAAGUGGCUCAUUUUCUUGAACGAUCGAAGAAAUUGAUCUGUGAUUAGUAUUGCACACUUGGUUCUUCUUUAAAAAAAAUUAUGCAGCGGAAAAAUUGGAAUUAAAAAUACUUAUAAUUUUGAGGUUAUACGUACGUAUUUAUAUAUUUAUUUUAUUCUUGGAAUCCAUAAUUGGAGAAUCUAUGAUUCAUAAGAUGUAAUUCGAAUUUUUAUUAAUCAAAUCUCUCUAAUUAGAUAAUUUCGAGAAAUCUUUUUAACUCGAAUCUUAUAUUAUAUCUCUUCUCGAGUUAUAAAUUAUCGAAUCUCGUUAUCGAAGUAUAUUGUGAUAUUUUAUAUAACAAUAUAAAAUAACAAUUACACGAUAUAUAUUCCAAUCACCAAGGAUCACAUAAAAUAUAACUUCAUCAAAUAAUAAAACAAGAACUACAAUAAAAUUCCAGCAGAUGCUCGUAAACAUUGGUUUAUAGUUUUUCCCAGGACUUUGGUCGGGUGAGACCUUUCAUAUCCUUUUAUGGCCACACUAUUAUCAUGGAAUCUUGUAAAUGUUUGAACAACCAUCCCAAAGAAGUUUUACCAUGUCGCAGCGGCUAUCACGUGGCUGUACGUGGCACGUUUACUAACCAGAUAGAGACACAAAAUAAUUCGCUUGAAUUCGUAAGAAAUGCACUGCUGAUAUGCUUGGAACAUUGGUUUAUUGGUCAGUCUGGUUCAUUAAUCUUUUACAUGGAAAGAUCGAUUCAAUGAGUACAGACGAUGAAUUUCUUAAUUAAGAGACUUUUGUAUCGAACCAAUUGAUUUUUGCCAAGAAUGAAAGACGAGAAUUUUUAAAGAUGAAAUUAUAGAAAAAAAAUUGUGAAAAAUUGCUAUUUGUGGGUCAAUGGAUAGUUGCU